Long non-coding RNA from Oncorhynchus kisutch (coho salmon), 1839 nucleotides. The record is from Ensembl. Lineage: Eukaryota; Metazoa; Chordata; Actinopteri; Salmoniformes; Salmonidae.
CGCCCCUCUGAUCCGCUUCUUCAAUGGGUUUUGAGAAGGAGGUGAGGAGAGAGGACGCAAGGAGUAAACAAUUCUCCCCUUAACUUCUUCCUUCCUCCAUCCUUGAUUGAUUUGUUCUCUCAACAAAGACAAAGCUGAACGUGAUCAAUCAAUGAGCCAGUGAUUGAAUGGCAAUUGCAGGUUCAGGCAAUAAAUAUACUCCCAGCUAGUAUGGCAACUGAGCAAGGCAGUAAAUCACAGUGGGUUUAAGUGUUCCAUUUGGAAACUAUAGUGGUGGCUUGUCUGUUGGUACUUAGAUAUGGCUUUUGGAAUUAAUUUGUGGAUCGUGUUGCUUUGCUCCAUAUUCUCAGAACAUUUAAGAUCUACUUGUGCUCCACAUGAUGCCCAGAGAUUAAGAGGCUACAUGUAUUCUGGCUCUUCCCAAGUGGAAGAUGAACAGAAACAACCAGGUGACGGCUAUCCUCAGGAUCCAAUCAAACCAACUUUUAGUACUUCAGGAUCUGUCCAGAGUGAUGCUACUCCCAGAGAGACUGGCCCCAACACCCAUAACCAGGAACUAUCCCGCAGAGGCUCUGCUUCAAGCUCUAUCCAGCCUGCCCCAAGAAUGUUAGGCCUCUCUGGAUCUAUAGCCAGUAGAACCUCUGUCAGCCACAACAAGCGUCACACCCGUGCCAGUAUAACCUCAGGCCAAAGUGUCACCAACCCUAGUGCAGUGAAGAUGGUUUCAAAUUGGGAAGCAAAGGGAAUCCAGCCCAAAACCUUUCCAUUACAGCCUCAUUCAAGCAACUCUGGAUCUGUUCAGAAUUUCCUGGGAAGCCAUUUAUUCAAAGCAAACCCCCAGAAUUCUGUGGCACAAAGUGGAAUCUACCAGUCCGUAAGGGAAAUGGCUUCCACCCCUUACCUUCAAGCUCCCUCACGUGGUUCUUCAGGAACUUCACUUAGACCAGGUCCUCUGCAUUUUGGGUCUACUGAAGGUGGGAGUGCAACAAAUGCAUACAAGCCCAGCUUCUCUCAAUAUGUCAAGCCAUACCAGAGUAGAUAUGCCUCCGCCAGUAGUGGUUCAACUUCUAGUCAAUAUGCCCAGAGUAUAGAUGUUGCCUCCAAAAGCAGCAGUAUCCCUAUACUUAGCCUGGGGUCUAGCUCCAGUCUCUUUGCCCCGAGUUCUACGCCUAGUAAAAACUCCUAUGGAACCUACAAGCCUGGCUCUACCCUUGGUGCAACACCACGCCAGAGCAUGUUUACCGCUAACCAGGGUGGCAGUGCUUCAAUCUACAGCCAGAAUGCCCUUGCCGCCAACCAGAAGCCAGGUAGCACUACACCUGCCGACAGCAACCACAGGCAAGUCUCUGGUCAGGUGGGGGACUACCAGCCUAGUUAUGUUGCCAGUAGUGGGCCAAUCUCCAUCCUUUCCAGUUCUAACCAGGGUGGCAGUGCUUCAACCUAUGUCCAGAAACCAAGCAACUCUAAACCUGCCCCCAGGCAAAGCUAUCAGCGCAGCUAUACUCCCAAUGCAUUGAAGUCUAUCCCUAGCUAUGCCAGAGGACCUACCCAGAGCAGGACCAGCAGUACCACACCUCAAAGCGUUGUUCUGGUCUACAUCUACAACAUCCCAGCACGCUACGGUGGCACUCAUAUCCGUCGGCUCAAAGACCGUAUUCAUAGUGGGCGUAGUGCCUCCACUAGCCACUCCAAAACCAGCUCAAGUGUUAACAAGCCACAGCAAAACCACACUCCACCUGCCAAACAGGAGGGUCCCAGCACUCCCUACGUCCAAGUCUCACACUCUACUAGAUGGGAGCCCAGAACAUGACUAAGUGAGAGCUGUAACCACCAGUUGAG